UGAUUAUUAUUAUUAUUUAUUAGUUCAUGUCAAGCAUAUUCUUCAUUUGAUUCCCACUCACCAAUAUCUUGGCUGCCCUUCAUUUGGUCCACUUAGGAUGUCAAAAUCCGACACAAAAGUAAUGUAGUCCUAAUCGCAGCCCUUAACUUGUUGGGGUCUUUAUCGAAAAACCAACUAUAAUAUCUAGAUGAUAUAAAGCCAACUUUACUGUCAACCCAAUCCAACCUAUAUUUCACACAAAUCACCACUUCAUUACUUACUUACACUCCAAGGUUGAAGAUAUGGUUGGUACAAGGAGGGCAACGAUCAACGGCGAAAUUCACUCUCAGAGAAUUGUUGGCCGUCGGCUUCCCAAGAGGGGUCAAGUCAAGAUAGCUAUUGUGUUGGGUCUCGCCCAUUCUUUUGCUUCAUUUUCUAGAUGAAUAAAAAGGCCAGAUUUUUCUCGGAAAUCCUAGCUUCAUUUUGUAACAUUUUUUUUAACGCAGGCGGCUGUAUUGCAGUAAUUGUACAUUGAAUGUCUUGAUUAUCAAUGAAAACGAAUCUAUUAUU
RNAcentral lists this long non-coding RNA (549 nucleotides) under Gossypium raimondii (Peruvian cotton). Its description in RNAcentral is "long non-coding RNA (GRAI_LNC006994)". Lineage: Eukaryota; Viridiplantae; Streptophyta; Magnoliopsida; Malvales; Malvaceae. The record is from RNAcentral.